Molecule: transfer RNA, 82 nt
Filed under: Melghiribacillus thermohalophilus
Lineage: Bacteria; Bacillati; Bacillota; Bacilli; Caryophanales; Bacillaceae
Rfam family: tRNA
About the family: Transfer RNA (tRNA) molecules are approximately 80 nucleotides in length. Their secondary structure includes four short double-helical elements and three loops (D, anti-codon, and T loops).
Source: Rfam by way of RNAcentral
GGAGGGGUAGCGAAGUGGCUAAACGCGGCGGACUGUAAAUCCGCUCCCUCCGGGUUCGCAGGUUCGAAUCCUGCCCCCUCCA